CCCUUAGAUGUCCUGGGCCGCACGCGCACUACACUGAGUGUCUGAGAUACGAGUCUGCCUGGUCCGGCAAGGUCUAGGUAAUCGCUAAAAGACACAUCAUGCUUGGGAUAGAUUAUUGCAAAUAUUAAUCUUGAACGAGGAAUUCCUAGUAAGCGCAAGUCAACAGCUUGCGUUUAUUACGUCCCUGCCCUUUGUACACACCGCCCGUCGCUACUACUGAUUGGAUGUUUAAGCGAGGUUCUCGAACUGCUAGCGACUUAGCUUCGGUGAGGUCGCAGUGUGGGAAGUGAACCUAGCUUUGGUGUCUAGAGGAAGUAAAAGUCGUAACA
RNAcentral lists this ribosomal RNA (329 nucleotides) under uncultured eukaryote. RNAcentral's name for it is "partial 18S ribosomal RNA". It matches the Rfam family "Eukaryotic small subunit ribosomal RNA", at positions 1470 to 1796 of the family's 1831-position model. The record is from RNAcentral.